Molecule: ribosomal RNA, 497 nt
Filed under: uncultured bacterium
Lineage: Bacteria
Description: partial 16S ribosomal RNA
Rfam family: Bacterial small subunit ribosomal RNA
Source: RNAcentral
GAUGAACGCUGGCGGCGUGCCUAAUACAUGCCAGUCGAGCGAACGGACGAGAAGCUUGCUUCUCUGAUGUUAGCGGCGGACGGGUGAGUAACACGUGGAUAACCUACCUAUAAGACUGGGAUAACUUCGGGAAACCGGAGCUAAUACCGGAUGAUAUUUUGAACCGCAUGGUUCAAAAGUGAAAGACGGUCUUGCUGUCACUUAUAGAUGGAUCCGCGCUGCAUUAGCUAGUUGGUAAGGUAACGGCUUACCAAGGCAACGAUGCAUAGCCGACCGGAGAGGAGGAUAGGCCACACUGGAACUGAGCCACGCUCCAGAGUCCUACGGGAGGGAGCAGUAGGGAAUGUUCCGCAAUGGGCGAAAGCCUGACGGAGCAGCGCCGCGUGAGAGAUAAAGGUCUUCGGAUCGGAAAACUCUGUUAUUGGGGAAGAACAUAUGUGUAAGUAACUGUGCACAUCUUGACGGUACCUAAUCAGAAAGCCACGGCUAACUACGUG